CUAAGACUAUUUACUAAAAGUAUUUAGGCUAAGUUAGGAGCUCUCUGAGAGUGUUCUUAGAAUGUUAGUGAAUACAGCCCCUGGUCUACAUGAUUUUUCUAAGAUUAUUUUUUGGCAUUUUGCCUUUAUUGGAUAGGAAAGGGGGAGAGAGAGGGUAUGACAUGCAGCAAAGGGCUACAAGGACAUGGCCUUUGUAUAUGAGGGGCCCGCUCUACCAGCAGCCACUACAGGACACACCCACUACCGGUUCGUCCUUUUUGCAUCCAUCCUCCAGAUGAUCCUGUCCUUAUCUCCAUGACCUCUUCACUAUGCUGCUAACCAGUGUCACAUGUGAGGCAGCAUUCCUGUACCAAAGUCAUCUGUCAUCUAUCAUGGUUUUUUCUCAUCCUGCUGUCAAGAUGGCACCGCCGAUGGCUGCCUCAACAUGAUGCACAAGAACAACAGGGGGAUGCAAUAGAGCCUGAACUCACCCCGCAAUGAAACAACCCCCUUACCCUGAGUCUCAACUCUGUGGGUUUUGCAAGCCUUUCCCUGUUCCUUAUUUUUAAUAAACC
Long non-coding RNA from Epinephelus moara (kelp grouper), 554 nucleotides. RefSeq lists it as uncharacterized. NCBI's taxonomy places the organism in Eukaryota, Metazoa, Chordata, Actinopteri, Perciformes, Serranidae. The record is from RefSeq and is a predicted model, not a curated record. The transcript has 3 exons.